This 201-nucleotide ribosomal RNA is filed under the name uncultured bacterium. Its description in RNAcentral is "partial 16S ribosomal RNA". It matches the Rfam family "Bacterial small subunit ribosomal RNA", at positions 328 to 539 of the family's 1533-position model. The record is from RNAcentral.
ACGCUCGACACCUACGGGGAGGCAGCAGGUGGGGAAUAUUGCACAAGUGGGGGAAACCCUGAUGCAGCGACGCCGCGUGGAGGAAGAAGGUCUUCGGAUUGUAAACUCCUGUUGUUAGGGGAAAAAGAGGAUGGUACCCAACAAGGAAGUGACGGCUAACUACGUGCUAGCAGCCGGGUAAUCUGAGCGGGCUGGCAAGGC